Molecule: ribosomal RNA, 253 nt
Filed under: uncultured bacterium
Lineage: Bacteria
Description: partial 16S ribosomal RNA
Rfam family: Bacterial small subunit ribosomal RNA
Source: RNAcentral
UACGGAGGGUGCAAGCGUUGUUCGGAUUUACUGGGCGUAAAGCGCGCGCAGGCGGCACACCAAGUACCCUAUGAAAUCUCCUUGCUCAACGGGGAGGGUGUUGGGUGGACUGGUGAGCUAGAGGACGGUAGAGGGGGGUAGAAUUGCUGGUGUAGCGGUGAAAUGCGUAGAGAUCAGCAGGAAUACCCGUGGCGAAGGCGGCCCCCUGGGCCGUACCUGACGCUGAGGCGCGAAGGCUAGGGGAGCGAACGGG